ACCCGCUGAAUUUAAGCAUAUAAGUAAGCGGAGGACGAGAAACUAAACAGGAUUCCCACAGUAAUGGCGAAUGAACGUGGAGGAGCUCAACAUGAGAAUUGUGGCCUUCGGCCUUGAAUUGUAAUCUCAAGAUGUACUGGCCAACGGAGGCGCAGGCGUAAGCCUCUUGGAAAAGAGCAAUCGUUGAGGGUGAGGAUCCUGUUCGUCUCCUGCAGACCUCCGUGUACGGCGUACUUUCAAAGAGUCACGUUCCUUGGGAUUGGAGCGCAAAUCGGGUGGUAAAUUUCAUCUAAAGCUAAAUAUGGGUUCGAGACCGAUAGCAAACAAGUACCAUGAGGGAAAGAUGAAAAGGACUUUGAAAAGAGAGUUAAAAGUGCCUGAACUCGCUGUAAGGAAAGCGGAUGGAACCAGUCUNGCUUGGCAAGACUGUCGCGCCGUUGCGCGGGGCUGAAGGGGACAGGUUGAACUUGAAAUUCCUUGUNCCUGGAAGUGCACGCGUGCCGCGAUGUUUCUUGCCUUGCUUGUCACAAGCGGUUUGCGAUUGAAGACGACCUCUCGGGACAUGGAAGCUCGCCCCAGGGUGUGCGAACGUGCCUUGCAGAACUUAGUCGUAGACUGGCGCUCUGCCCAAGCUGCGGGCGGUAGCCAGCGCAGGUGGUGUGAAAACAGCUUGCGUUGCCCUUUGUUACGAGGGGCGCUGGUUUACGCCCGACUAUUGGUGCACUUGCUUUUGUGACUGAAUGGUUCUAUUCGACCCGUCUUGAAACACGGACCAAGGAGUCUAACAUAUGUGCUAGUCUUUCGCUACCACGGUUAAAGGCGCAAUGAAAGUGAGUGCUGAGAACGAGUAGAGAAACAUCAGCAGCCGACCAAUCAAUUGGGAGAGGUUUGAGCAUGAGCACAUGUGUUAGGACCCGAAAGAUGGUGAACUAUGCCUGAGAAGGGCGAAGUCUGCGGAAACGCAGAUGGAGGCUCGUAGCGAUACUGACGUGCAAAUCGUUCGUCAUACUUGGGUAUAGGGGCGAAAGACUAAUCGAACCAUCUAGUAGCUGGUUCCUUCCGA
This 1063-nucleotide ribosomal RNA is filed under the name Polykrikos kofoidii. Its description in RNAcentral is "LSU rRNA". It matches the Rfam family "Eukaryotic large subunit ribosomal RNA", at positions 23 to 964 of the family's 3401-position model. Lineage: Eukaryota; Dinophyceae; Gymnodiniales; Gymnodiniaceae. The record is from RNAcentral.